AUGACAGUACUCCUACGGGAGGCAGCGGUGGGAAUAUUGACAAUGGGCGCAAGCCUGAUGCAGCCAUGCCGCGUGUGUGAAGAAGGCCUUCGGGUUGUAAAGCACUUUCAGUCGUGAGGAAGGUGGUGUAGUUAAUAGCUGCAUUAUUUGACGUUAGCGACAGAAGAAGCACCGGCUAACUACGUGCCAGCAGCCGCGGUAAUACGUAGGGUGCAAGCGUUAAUCGGAAUUACUGGGCGUAAAGCGUGCGCAGGCGGUUCGGAAAGAAAGAUGUGAAAUCCCAGAGCUUAACUUUGGAACUGCAUUUUUAACUACCGGGCUAGAGUGUGUCAGAGGGAGGUGGAAUUCCGCGUGUAGCAGUGAAAUGCGUAGAUAUGCGGAGGAACACCGAUGGCGAAGGCAGCCUCCUGGGAUAACACUGACGCUCAUGCACGAAAGCGUGGGGAGCAAACAGGAUUAGAUACCCUGGUAG
Molecule: ribosomal RNA, 472 nt
Filed under: uncultured bacterium
Lineage: Bacteria
Description: bacterial SSU rRNA
Rfam family: Bacterial small subunit ribosomal RNA
Source: RNAcentral